GAUGAACGCUGGCGGCGUGCUUAACACAUGCAAGUCGAACGGAAAGGCUCCUGCUUGCAGGGGUACUCGAGUGCCGAACGGGUGAGUAACACGUGGGUGAUCUGCCCUGCACUUCGGGAUAAGCCUGGGGAACUGGGGCUAAUACCGGAUAGGACGAUGGUUUGGAUGCGAUUGUGGAAAGAUUUUCGGUGUGGGAUGAGCUCGCGGCUUAUCAGCUUGUUGGUGGGGUAAUGGCCUACCAAGGCGUCGACGGGUAGCCGGCCUGAGAGGGGGGACGGCCACAUUGGGACUAAGAGACGGCGCAGUCUCGUACGGGAGGCAGCAGUCGGGAAUAUUGCACAAUGGGCGCAAGCCUGAUGCAGCGACGCCGCGUGGGGGAUGACGGCUUUCUGGUUGUAAACUCCUUUCGCUAGGGACGAAGCGCAAGUGACGGUACCUGGAGAAGAAGCACCGGCUAACUACGUG
RNAcentral lists this ribosomal RNA (465 nucleotides) under uncultured bacterium. Its description in RNAcentral is "partial 16S ribosomal RNA". It matches the Rfam family "Bacterial small subunit ribosomal RNA", at positions 28 to 507 of the family's 1533-position model. The record is from RNAcentral.